UCUCUUCUUCUUUCUUCUGUACCAUCACUUUACUUACCAUUCUUAGUAGUUUUUAGAAAGCAAAAGGCUUCUCAUCCUUUUUUACUAUUUUUAGAAAACAAGAGAUAGAGAGAGCAAAGUCGUUCCACGGCUGGAAAGAAUCGUCAGUUUCAGGGAAGGGAGGAAAUUUUGCCUAAAUCAUCAUCUCUUCUCUAUGUUUCUUUUUAAAUUUGGAAGGGAGGAAAUUAUAACCAAGAGUUGAAGAUGGCUGGAAAGAAUCGUCAGUUUCAGGGAAGGGAGGAAAUUUUGCCUAAAUCAUCAUCUCUUCUCUAUGUUUCUUUUUAAAUUUGGAAGGGAGGAAAUUAUAACCAAGAGUUGAAGAUGGCUGGAAAGAAUCGUCAGUUUCAGGGAAGGGAGGAAAUUUUGCCUAAAUCAUCAUCUCUUCUCUAUGUUUCUUUUUAAAUUUGGAAGGGAGGAAAUUAUAACCAAGAGUUGAAGAUGGCUGGAAAGAAUCGUCAGUUUCAGGGAAGGGAGGAAAUUUUGCCUAAAUCAUCAUCUCUUCUCUAUGUUUCUUUUUAAAUUUGGAAGGGAGGAAAUUAUAACCAAGAGUUGAAGAUGGCUGGAAAGAAUCGUCAGUUUCAGGGAAGGGAGGAAAUUUUGCCUAAAUCAUCAUCUCUUCUCUAUGUUUCUUUUUAAAUUUGGAAAGGAGGAAAUUAUAACCAAGAGUUGAAGAU
Camelina sativa (false flax) is the source of this 713-nucleotide non-coding RNA. The record is from RefSeq and is a predicted model, not a curated record. NCBI's taxonomy places the organism in Eukaryota, Viridiplantae, Streptophyta, Magnoliopsida, Brassicales, Brassicaceae.